Long non-coding RNA from Schistocerca americana (American grasshopper), 417 nucleotides. RefSeq lists it as uncharacterized. The transcript has 3 exons. Lineage: Eukaryota; Metazoa; Arthropoda; Insecta; Orthoptera; Acrididae. The record is from RefSeq and is a predicted model, not a curated record.
UGAAAGACUUUUUGGUAGGAAACUCAUCUACUCUUCAGACGAAUAUCCUAACAGGGACAGUUAGACCAGCUUAUGUAAAAAUUUCUGUUUUGACAGCACUUGGUCACAACAGUUAAGAUUAGAGUCUUGCUGGGCACAUACAAGAAAAGAUAGAGCCACUGGUGGUGCCAGCUAUUCUUGAACAUGAAGAAAUAAGUGGCUUGACAAGUCAGAUAGCUAGUGGAAAGAGAGGAAGAGCUGUGUUGUCAUCAUGGGAUUCUGAGCCAUUUUUGGGUGUACAGAAGUCAUUGGAUGCACUCUUGCAGGAACUAAAUUAUAUCUAUAAAGUUAUGGGGAACCAUGGUGUUGACCCAGAACUUACUGUCCAGAUAUUUCAGCAGGUAUUCUACUUCAUCUGUGCCAUUUCAAUGAAUAAUC